Molecule: long non-coding RNA, 1257 nt
Filed under: Sus scrofa (pig)
Lineage: Eukaryota; Metazoa; Chordata; Mammalia; Artiodactyla; Suidae
Description: lncRNA (ENSSSCG00070007488.1)
Source: RNAcentral
GGUCCUGGGCUCCAAAGGACGUCGUAUGGCUCAGUUUACCUGGGUGCCACGUGCCACCUGGGAUGUUGUCUGGCCAGGGGUUGCUCUCCCAAAGCGGCACUUACCGCAGACACCGCAGUGACAGACAGAGACGCUUCCGCCUGGCAGCCCCGAGAGAACUCGCUGAGAGCCUUCCCGGUGGAACGCAUCAAGGCGGCUUCAUUCCUCGAACCUGGUGUCGGGGAGGCCUGCCCGCCCUCGCGCCGAACUGCAAAGGGCGGCUCGUCUCCCCAGGCCAGAAGGACCUUGCCCUCGCCCCAGGGGCCCAGAGCACAAAGCCGGUCCUCGGGGUGCUUGCCGUGCGGGGCGGGGGGGGGGUUCCGCCCAGCACCCCCUCCGCCCCACCUCCGAGCCUGCUCCUGCCGCCUGGGCAGAGCGCACCUGGGGCGGCGAGGUCCUCUGGCGCCGCCUUGUGGACAUCUGCUCGAACAGCAAGUCCCAGGGGUUCCUCCUCGCUCUGGCUCAGCAGGCCCCCGGGGCUGCCUGGGGCCUGGGCCCUGGGCCCGGGGCCCGGGGCUGGGUGGGUUCUCUCCCUCCCUUGAGGGAACUCCCAAGAAGAACCUGUCCAAGGGGGCUCCUUCUCGCUCAGAGGCUCUCAGAGCCCUCAGGCCCACCUGCCCCAAGCCCCUCCGUUCCACACACACACACACACCCCCCGCCGUCAGCUCCGGACCCAUCCUGUCAGGACAGGGUGGCCCUUGCUCAGACGGGCCUGCCCUGGGCUAUGGAGGGCCCCGCGCGCGUGUGUGUAUAUAUGGAGCUCUUGCUCUUGCCUUGCGUUUCCAAGUGGUAUUCCUUCGGUCGUCCAAUAAUAAACUCGUGAUUCUUUCCCUUCUGGUUUCGUUCUGGCUUCCUUGCUUCCUUCCUUCCUGUCCCCGUCCCUGUCCCUGUCCCUGUCCCUGUCUCUCCUUCCCUCGUUCUCUCUUGCUUUAUGGACCCCACCUGAGGCGAGCGUCGGUCGCCCGCCCUCGAGGGUCGGCCAGCCACAGAGGGUGCCAAGCUGGCCCCAGCGACCCAGACAGACCUUUUCCCCAGGGAGCCUGGAGGGACCUCCGGGAGGUCUUUCCUGCUCUCGUGCUACCGGCCUGCGAUGGCCCGAGCUGGCUCGAGAGCAGCUCUUCAUACCAGGUGUUUGGCCAGAACCAAAGCGGCUCACAGGGAAAGCCAAAGGCGGAGGUUCAGGAGACCUCCUGGGAGAAGGCACACCGGGAGGGGCGC